UACAGAGGGUGCGAGCGUUGUCCGGAAUCACUGGGCGUAAAGGGCGCGUAGGUGGUGGGCCAAGUCAGUGGUGAAAGCUCGAUGCUCAACAUCGAGUCGGCCACUGAUACUGGUUUGCUUGAGCACUGUAGAGGCAGAUGGAAUUCCGGGUGUAGCGGUGGAAUGCGUAGAGAUCCGGAAGAACACCGGUGGCGAAGGCGGUCUGCUGGGCAGUUGCUGACACUGAGGCGCGACAGCGUGGGGAGCAAACAGG
RNAcentral lists this ribosomal RNA (253 nucleotides) under uncultured bacterium. RNAcentral's name for it is "partial 16S ribosomal RNA". It matches the Rfam family "Bacterial small subunit ribosomal RNA", at positions 524 to 776 of the family's 1533-position model. The record is from RNAcentral.